Molecule: long non-coding RNA, 1127 nt
Filed under: Cricetulus griseus (Chinese hamster)
Lineage: Eukaryota; Metazoa; Chordata; Mammalia; Rodentia; Cricetidae
Description: lncRNA (ENSCGRG00015039879.1)
Source: RNAcentral
GCAUCGAAGAAACUCAAUAUGGAGUUUUCUUUCAACAUGGCAAGAUUAGCUAUUUGGGCAGGAAACUGCUCUUGCCUGGACUGUUUGUUUCUGUAUAAACUGGACAUGCAGGACCCACAAGAAAGUAACUGCUGAACUUACAAAACAAGACAGUACUUGAAGGGUUCCUGUUGAAAUGAAGAAGUGUGCCAAACACACUAUGGCCUAUGGGCUGAAGAUGGAUGCCCCAACGUUACAGAGGAACUUUGGUUGACUGUCCAGGUAGAGAGAUGUCUCUGUCAAUUCUAGAGUUUAUAUAUUAUCCUUCUGUGGUCUUUGAUAGAGUUGAAGACAGAUAGUUAUGGUUAUAGUUUUUUCAGUUAUUAUAAAAGAUAAGUUAUCCUUCUUUUUAUUUAGACAGAAAAGAGGAGAUGAUGGGGAAUGUACUUCUGUGUAUGUUCAUCUUAUUGAUUGUUGAAUAAAGUACUGUUUGGCCAAUGAGACAGCUAGUUGGGGGGGACUAGGAGUCAAGGAGGAUUCUGGGAAAUGUAGUAAAGAAGUGGUGACCUGCAGGAAGUGACAUAGCAGGGAGACUCAUAUAUAAACAAGGGCAAGAAGGAAGUGGGCCCCCUUUCUCUUCCUCCAGAGUCACCAUGUGAUCCCAGGAUGAGGACACCAAUGGAAGGCUUUCUCACUGAAGUUGGAGCUCACUGAUUGGCCAGACUGGGAGCCACAGGGAUCCUUCCAGUUGCUGAGGUGACAAAUGUGCACUGAGCUUCUCAGUGGUUACUGGGGACCCAAAUUCAGGUCCUCAUAUUUGUUUUUGCCUAGCCAUCUCCCGAAUCCUCUGAACAAGUUCAUGUUUCACGAAGUGUUGUUUUUUAUUAGCUUCCAGUUAUUUGUAAGGGAGUUUUUAAAUACUUUUCUGUUAUCUAAUUUAAUCUUUUCUGUUUUUGCAUGAAUGUAUUCAUUCUAGAUUUAUAAGCAUUUGCUUUAUGUGUCAGAGUAUAAUAUAAUUUAGUAAAUGUACAGUGCUGCCUUGGUGAGAAUGUGUUAUUACUGGGUAUGAGGUUGAUUAAUAUUGUCAAUUUUUCCUGGGUUUGUUUGUUCUUGUUGUUUUUCUAGACAGGUUUCUCUUUGUAUCCCUG